Molecule: small nuclear RNA, 162 nt
Filed under: Castor canadensis (American beaver)
Lineage: Eukaryota; Metazoa; Chordata; Mammalia; Rodentia; Castoridae
Description: U1 spliceosomal RNA (ENSCCNG00000022487.1)
Rfam family: U1 spliceosomal RNA
About the family: U1 is a small nuclear RNA (snRNA) component of the spliceosome (involved in pre-mRNA splicing). Its 5' end forms complementary base pairs with the 5' splice junction, thus defining the 5' donor site of an intron.
Source: Rfam by way of RNAcentral
AUACUUACCUGGCAGAGGAGAUACCAUGAUCACAAAGGUUGUUUUCCCAGGGCAAGGCUUAUCCAUUGCACUCCGGAUGUGCUGACCCCUGCGAUUUCCCCAAAUGUGGGAAAUUUGACUGCAUAAUUUGUGGUAGUAGGGACUGAGCUUGCACUCUCCCCU